AUACCUACCUGGUAAGGGAGACACCAUGAUCAGACAGGUGGUUUUCCCAGGGCAAGGCUCAUCCCCUGCACUUUUUUUUUUUUUUUUUUUAAUAGAUCAUGGAGCAGAUCCUCCUGGAAGAUAUUUUAACACUUAUGGAAGAGAGGGAGGUGAUCAUAGAAAGCAACCUGG
Molecule: small nuclear RNA, 171 nt
Filed under: Otus sunia (Oriental scops-owl)
Lineage: Eukaryota; Metazoa; Chordata; Aves; Strigiformes; Strigidae
Description: U1 spliceosomal RNA (ENSOSUG00000010380.1)
Rfam family: U1 spliceosomal RNA
About the family: U1 is a small nuclear RNA (snRNA) component of the spliceosome (involved in pre-mRNA splicing). Its 5' end forms complementary base pairs with the 5' splice junction, thus defining the 5' donor site of an intron.
Source: RNAcentral